UCUCAAAGAUUAAGCCAUGCAUGUCUUAGUACAGACUGUAAAUAAAGUGAAACCGCGAAUGGCUCAUUAAAUCAGUUAUAAUUCCUUGGAUAAUGUAACCUUACACGGAUAACUGUGGUAAUUCUAGAGCUAAUACGUGCAACCCAUCUCURACCCUUCCUCGGAAGCUGGAAAGAGUGCAUUUAUUAGACCAAGACCAAUGUUCUUYUUGCUGUAAAAGGCAAGARGUUCCMYAAACUUGGUGACUCUGAAUAACUGAGUUGAUCGCAUGGCCCCAGUGCCGGCGACAUAUCCUUCAAGUGUCUGCCUUAUCAACUGUCGAUGGUAGGUUAAGUGCCUACCAUGGUUGUAACGGGUAACGGGGAAUUAGGGUUCGAUUCCGGAGAGGGAGCCUGAGAAAUGGCUACCACAUCCAAGGAAGGCAGCAGGCACGCAAAUUACCCAAUCCCAGAACGGGGAGGUAGUGACGAAAAAUAACAAUACAGGACUCUAUUGAGGCUCUGUAAUUGGAAUGAACUGUAUAUAAAUCCUAUUGUAAGGAUCAAUUGGAGGGCAAGUCUGGUGCCAGCAGCUGCGGUAAUUCCAGCUCCAAUAGCGUAUAUUAAAGUUGUUGCGGUUAAAAAGCUCGUAGUUUGAUCUCAGCUCUCUGUCUUUUCUGCUGUUAACUCAAUAAACYGCCMUCUGAAAGGAUGGUGGUGGGUUUUUCUGGCAGGACAGAGUUGCAUGRAAUCGUUCAUCCUGCUGAUGCUCUUYACCGGGUGUCAGUAUGGGGACGAUACGUUUACUUUGAACAAAUUAGAGUGCUCAAAGCAGGCUUAUAUUAUGCCCUGAAUAACCUUGCAUGGAAUAAUGGAAUAGGACCUUUGGAUUCUAUUUUGUUGGUCUCCUGAAUCUAAGGUAAUGAUUAAGAGGGACAGACGGGGGCAUUCGUAUUGUUGCGCUAGAGGUGAAAUUCUUGGACCGCAGCAAGACGAACUACAGCGAAAGCAUUUGCCAAGAAUGUUUUCAUUAAUCAAGAACGAAAGUUAGAGGUUCGAAGGCGAUCAGAUACCGCCCUAGUUCUAACCAUAAACGAUGCCAACCAGCGAUCAGUCAGAGUUAAUUUAUAAUGGCUCGACUGGCAGCUUCCGGGAAACCAAAGUGUUUCGGUUCCGGGGGAAGUAUGGUUGCAAAGCUGAAACUUAAAGGAAUUGACGGAAGGGCACCACCAGGAGUGGAGCCUGCGGCUUAAUUUGACUCAACACGGGAAAACUCACCCGGYCCGGACACUAAGCGGAUUGACAGAUUGAGAGCUCUUUCUUGAUUUAGUGGGUGGUGGUGCAUGGCCGUUCUUAGUUGGUGGAGUGAUUUGUCUGGUUAAUUCCGAUAACGAACGAGACUCUAGCCUACUAAAUAGACUUGCUCUCCAGUUGGUGGGUYAMCUGGUGCAUYUCAUCGUAGCAKGGUUCGCUGUGUUGCRGKGUUGUGUACUGGCCACCUUGUAGAGUAAGGACUUCUUAGAGGGACAGGCGUCGUUAUAGACGCACGAAACAGAGCAAUAACAGGUCUGUGAUGCCCUUAGAUGUCCGGGGCCGCACGCGCGCUACAAUGAAGCAAUCAACGUUUUCUAKUCUUCCUUCUCUGGAAAGAGUGGGUAACACGUUGAACCUGCUUCGUGCUUGGGACUGGGCAUUGUAAUUAUUGCCCACGAACGAGGAAUUCCCAGUAAGCGUGAGUCAUAAGCUUGCGUUGAUUACGUCCCUGCCCUUUGUACACACCGCCCGUCGCUACUACCGAUUGAAUGAUUAAGUGAGGUCUUUGGACUGACUGGAGCAGCUUGCCGUCAAAAAGUAAGCUAUUCUGUGUUGGAAAAAUGCCCAAACUUGAUCAUUUAGAGGAAGUAAAAGUCGUAA
This 1892-nucleotide ribosomal RNA is filed under the name Cyclurobia sp. AD1246. Its description in RNAcentral is "SSU rRNA". It matches the Rfam family "Eukaryotic small subunit ribosomal RNA". The record is from RNAcentral. Lineage: Eukaryota; Metazoa; Arthropoda; Arachnida; Trombidiformes; Pterygosomatidae.